UACGUAGGGUGCAAGCGUUGUCCGGAAUUAUUGGGCGUAAAGAGCUCGUAGGCGGUUUGUCGCGUCUGCUGUGAAAACUCAGGGCUUAACCCUGAGCCUGCAGUGGGUACGGGCAGACUAGAGUGUGGUAGGGGAGAUCGGAAUUCCUGGUGUAGCGGUGGAAUGCGCAGAUAUCAGGAGGAACACCGGUGGCGAAGGCGGAUCUCUGGGCCAUAACUGACGCUGAGGAGCGAAAGCAUGGGGAGCGAACAGGA
This 254-nucleotide ribosomal RNA is filed under the name uncultured bacterium. RNAcentral's name for it is "partial 16S ribosomal RNA". It matches the Rfam family "Bacterial small subunit ribosomal RNA", at positions 524 to 777 of the family's 1533-position model. The record is from RNAcentral.